Long non-coding RNA from Daucus carota subsp. sativus, 221 nucleotides. RefSeq lists it as uncharacterized. NCBI's taxonomy places the organism in Eukaryota, Viridiplantae, Streptophyta, Magnoliopsida, Apiales, Apiaceae. The record is from RefSeq and is a predicted model, not a curated record. The transcript is spliced from 2 exons.
CCUGUUCAAAAUAGUAACUAAAGAUAAGAGAACCAGACUGGUAGCAUAAGAUAUAGCCAACAUAUAGGAUGAACUGACAUCACAACUACUUUCCUUCGAGAAUAUGUAGUUCAAUUUGCAACCAAGAUGGUGCAUUUACCCUGGCUACAAGGCUACAACUUGAAGAGAACUUGCAAAGAUUGAAACGUCCCUGUAUGAAAUUGACCACUGUGUCCAGCACA